This 910-nucleotide ribosomal RNA is filed under the name uncultured bacterium. RNAcentral describes it as "bacterial SSU rRNA". It matches the Rfam family "Bacterial small subunit ribosomal RNA", at positions 8 to 916 of the family's 1533-position model. The record is from RNAcentral.
AGAGUUUGAUCCUGGCUCAGGAUGAACGCUAGCGGCAGGCUUAAUACAUGCAAGUCGAACGGGAUUCGUUGUAGCAAUACGAUGAUGAGAGUGGCGCACGGGUGCGUAACGCGUAUGCAACCUACCUUUAACAGGUGAAUAGCCCCGAGAAAUCGGGAUUAAUACACCGUAACAUUGCGAAGUGGCAUCACUAUGCAAUUAAAGAUUUAUCGGUUAAAGAUGGGCAUGCGUGACAUUAGCUAGUUGGUGAGGUAACGGCUCACCAAGGCAACGAUGUCUAGGGGUCCUGAGAGGGUUAUCCCCCACACUGGUACUGAGACACGGACCAGACUCCUACGGGAGGCAGCAGUAAGGAAUAUUGGUCAAUGGGCGCAAGCCUGAACCAGCCAUGCCGCGUGCAGGAAGACGGCCCUAUGGGUUGUAAACUGCUUUUGUCAGGGAAUAAACCUAUCUACGCGUAGAUAGCUGAAGGUACCUGAAGAAUAAGCAUCGGCUAACUCCGUGCCAGCAGCCGCGGUAAUACGGAGGAUGCAAGCGUUAUCCGGAUUCAUUGGGUUUAAAGGGUGCGCAGGCGGGUUAUUAAGUCAGAGGUGAAAUCCCACAGCUCAACUGUGGAACUGCCUUUGAUACUGAUAGUCUAGAGUAUAGUUGAAGUUGGCGGAAUGUGUCAUGUAGCGGUGAAAUGCUUAGAUAUGACACAGAACACCGAUCGCGAAGGCAGCUAGCUAAGCUAUAACUGACGCUCAUGCACGAAAGCGUGGGGAUCAAACAGGAUUAGAUACCCUGGUAGUCCACGCUGUAAACGAUGAUUACUCGAUGUUGGCGAUACACAGUCAGCGUCUAAGGGAAACCAAUAAGUAAUCCACCUGGGGAGUACGAUCGCAAGAUUGAAACUCAAAGGAAUUGACGG